This 72-nucleotide transfer RNA is filed under the name bacterium. Its description in RNAcentral is "tRNA-Phe". It matches the Rfam family "tRNA". From Rfam's summary of the family: Transfer RNA (tRNA) molecules are approximately 80 nucleotides in length. RNAcentral also lists the same sequence under 1 other name. The record is from RNAcentral.
GCCGGGAUAGCUCAGUGGUAGAGCGCUGCCCUGAAGAGGCAGGCGUCCCCAGUUCGAAUCUGGGUCCCGGCA